UGGCGAACGGGUGAGUAACACGUGAGUAACCUGCCCUUAACUCUGGGAUAAGCCUGGGAAACUGGGUCUAAUACCGGAUAUGACUCCUCAUCGCAUGGUGGGGGGUGGAAAGCUUUUUGUGGUUUUGGAUGGACUCGCGGCCUAUCAGCUUGUUGGUGAGGUAAUGGCUUACCAAGGCGACGACGGGUAGCCGGCCUGAGAGGGUGACCGGCCACACUGGGACUGAGACACGGCCCAG
RNAcentral lists this ribosomal RNA (238 nucleotides) under uncultured bacterium. Its description in RNAcentral is "partial 16S ribosomal RNA". It matches the Rfam family "Bacterial small subunit ribosomal RNA", at positions 96 to 334 of the family's 1533-position model. The record is from RNAcentral.